RNAcentral lists this ribosomal RNA (472 nucleotides) under uncultured bacterium. Its description in RNAcentral is "SSU rRNA". It matches the Rfam family "Bacterial small subunit ribosomal RNA", at positions 26 to 518 of the family's 1533-position model. The record is from RNAcentral.
AGGACGAACGCUGGCGGCGUGCUUAACACAUGCAAGUCGAGCGGAAAGGCCCUUCGGGGUACUCGAGCGGCGAACGGGUGAGUAACACGUGAGCAACCUGCCCUUAGCUCUGGGAUAGCUCCGGGAAACCGGAAUUAAUACCGGAUAUGACCUAGGCCGACAUCGGCCGUGGUGGAAAGUUUUUCGGCUAGGGAUGGACUCGCGGCCUAUCAGCUAGUUGGUGGGGUAAUGGCCUACCAAGGCGACGACGGGUAGCCGGCCUGAGAGGGCGACCGGCCACACUGGGACUGAGACACGGCCCAGACUCCUACGGGAGGCAGCAGUGGGAAUCUUGCGCAAUGGGCGAAAGCCUGACGCAGCGACGCCGCGUGGGGGAUGAAGGCCUUCGGGUUGUAAACCCUUUCAGCAGGGACGAAGCGAAAGUGACGGUACCUGCAGAAGAAGCGCCGGCUAACUACGCGCCAGCAGCCGC